This 392-nucleotide long non-coding RNA is filed under the name Malus domestica (apple). RNAcentral's name for it is "long non-coding RNA (MDOM_LNC018500)". Lineage: Eukaryota; Viridiplantae; Streptophyta; Magnoliopsida; Rosales; Rosaceae. The record is from RNAcentral.
UGCAUCUUCUUGCCUACUUUGUCCAUAAAAUCUGAAAACACACGAAAAUGACUUUAAACAUUAAAAUAACUUAGGAAACACGACAUAAAUGCACAAGAACAAGCCAACUAAGUCGCAUAAAUAUGCUCCUAUCAAUGAGCACCUACAUACUUGUCUUAGUGUCACAACACGAAUGGGAUGAGACUUUCCAUCCUUCCAUUUGAAGCGGACACAGUAUGUACCGGUCUAAGCAUUGUCAGUUUCCCUCUGACAAUCCAAUGACUAGGAACCUUUUGGACAUAAUGGUUAUGUGAAGAAGGUCUCUGUAGUCUAACAUCAUUAGAUUACUUCUUCAAUCAAUCCAUUAUCCAUGGAUACACUAUUGAGGACAUAUAUCGUUUAUUGAGAUAGUC